This 499-nucleotide ribosomal RNA is filed under the name uncultured Sphingobacterium sp. RNAcentral's name for it is "bacterial SSU rRNA". It matches the Rfam family "Bacterial small subunit ribosomal RNA", at positions 17 to 507 of the family's 1533-position model. Lineage: Bacteria; Pseudomonadati; Bacteroidota; Sphingobacteriia; Sphingobacteriales; Sphingobacteriaceae. The record is from RNAcentral.
UCCUGGCUCAGGAUGAACGCUAGCGGCAGGCCUAAUACAUGCAAGUCGAACGGGAUCUGAGGGUAGCUUGCUACCCGAUUUGAGAGUGGCGCACGGGUGCGUAACGCGUGAGCAACCUACCCAUAUCAGGGGGAUAGCCCGAAGAAAUUCGGAUUAACACCGCAUAACAAUGUAGUAACACAUGUUAUCACAUUUAAAUAUUUAUAGGAUAUGGAUGGGCUCGCGUGACAUUAGCUAGUUGGUAAGGUAACGGCUUACCAAGGCGACGAUGUCUAGGGGCUCUGAGAGGAGAAUCCCCCACACUGGUACUGAGACACGGACCAGACUCCUACGGGAGGCAGCAGUAAGGAAUAUUGGUCAAUGGGCGCAAGCCUGAACCAGCCAUGCCGCGUGCAGGAUGACUGCCCUAUGGGUUGUAAACUGCUUUUGUUAGGGAAUAAACCUUCUUACGUGUAAGGAGCUGAAUGUACCUAAAGAAUAAGGAUCGGCUAACUCCGUG